GAGUUUGAUCCUGGCUCAGAUUGAACGCUGGCGGCAUGCCUUACACAUGCAGGUCGAACGGCAGCACGGGAGCUUGCUCCUGGUGGCGAGUGGCGAACGGGUGAGUAAUGCAUCGGAACGUAUCCUGGAGUGGGGGAUAACGUAGCGAAAGUUACGCUAAUACCGCAUAUUCUGUGAGCAGGAAAGCGGGGGACCUUCGGGCCUCGCGCUCUUGGAGCGGCCGAUGUCGGAUUAGCUAGUUGGUGAGGUAAAGGCUCACCAAGGCGACGAUCCGUAGCAGGUCUGAGAGGAUGAUCUGCCACACUGGAACUGAGACACGGUCCAGACUCCUACGGGAGGCAGCAGUGGGAAUUUUGGACAAUGGGGGCAACCCUGAUCCAGCCAUGCCGCGUGAGUGAAGAAGGCCUCGGUU
Molecule: ribosomal RNA, 412 nt
Filed under: bacterium enrichment culture clone ALO1_GLFRUDD03GMGVI
Lineage: Bacteria
Description: bacterial SSU rRNA
Rfam family: Bacterial small subunit ribosomal RNA
Source: RNAcentral